Molecule: ribosomal RNA, 403 nt
Filed under: Verrucomicrobiota bacterium
Lineage: Bacteria; Pseudomonadati; Verrucomicrobiota
Description: Verrucomicrobia bacterium partial 16S ribosomal RNA
Rfam family: Bacterial small subunit ribosomal RNA
Source: RNAcentral
UGGGGAAUCUUGCACAAUGGAGGGACCUCUGAUGCAGCGACGCCGCGUGAACGAAGAAGGCUUUCGAGUCGUAAAGUUCUUUUAUAUGGGAAGAUAAUGACGGUACCAUAAGAAAAAGCACCGGCUAACUACGUGCCAGCAGCCGCGGUAAUACGUAGGGGGCUAGCGUUGUCCGGAAUCACUGGGCGUAAAGGGUUCGCAGGCGGAAAUGCAAGUCAGGUGUAAAAGGCAGUAGCUUAACUACUGUAAGCAUUUGAAACUGCAUAUCUUGAGAAGAGUAGAGGUAAGUGGAAUUUUUAGUGUAGCGGUGAAAUGCGUAGAUAUUAAAAAGAAUACCGGUGGCGAAGGCGACUUACUGGGCUCAUUCUGACGCUGAGGAACGAAAGCGUGGGUAGCAAACAGG